CCUACGGGUGGCUGCAGUGGGGAAUAUUGGACAAUGGGGGGAACCCUGAUCCAGCCAUGCCGCGUGUGUGAAGAAGGCCCUCGGGUUGUAAAGCACUUUCAGUGAGGAAGAACGCCUGGUGGUUAAUACCCAUCAGGAAAGACAUCACUCACAGAAGAAGCACCGGCUAACUCCGUGCCAGCAGCCGCGGUAAUACGGAGGGUGCGAGCGUUAAUCGGAAUUACUGGGCGUAAAGCGCGCGUAGGUGGCUUGAUAAGCCGGUUGUGAAAGCCCCGGGCUCAACCUGGGAACGGCAUCCGGAACUGUCAAGCUAGAGUGCAGGAGAGGAAGGUAGAAUUCCCGGUGUAGCGGGGAAAUGCGUAGAGAUCGGGAGGAAUACCAGUGGCGAAGGCGGCCUUCUGGACUGACACUGACACUGAGGUGCGAAAGCGUGGGUAGCAAACAGGAUUAGAUACCCGGGUAGUC
Molecule: ribosomal RNA, 465 nt
Filed under: Vreelandella stevensii
Lineage: Bacteria; Pseudomonadati; Pseudomonadota; Gammaproteobacteria; Oceanospirillales; Halomonadaceae
Description: partial 16S ribosomal RNA
Rfam family: Bacterial small subunit ribosomal RNA
Source: RNAcentral